This 495-nucleotide long non-coding RNA is filed under the name Anser cygnoides (Swan goose). RNAcentral describes it as "lncRNA (ENSACDG00005001022.1)". Lineage: Eukaryota; Metazoa; Chordata; Aves; Anseriformes; Anatidae. The record is from RNAcentral.
AUGCUUCUGGACCUUGUGAGAUUCCUGCAGUGGCAGGUCAGUUUAACUGUGCCCACACAACAACCCAAAGUGACUCAGCAAUGCCUCCGCACCGGUGAGGCCAGAGGAGGACACCCCCCAGCGCCAUCCCCUGGGGAGGCCACCACAGGAAAUCAAACCUUCACCCACUGCAGGAACUCCUCAAUAUUUCUGCAGCACAGUCCUGGGGGCCAAGCCGUGCCUUGUUCGUCUCUCCGGGCAUCGCACUGGGGAUCAGGGGGACCAACACAUCCUCUGGGGUCUGGGUCUGCAUGUUCUACAGCUCACCGUGAAUCGUGGCCACCGUAUCCUGAGCUGCUUCCUGCCUGGUUCAUUGCCAUCACCACCAUCAUGUUCCUCCCCCAAACCUGUCUUUCUCUUGCUUCUUUGCACAUAUCUUCAUGUCAGGUCUUUGGCUUGGAAAUGACUUCUCCUGUGAGCCAAACCUUCUUAUUCUACACUUUAAAAUCCUUAUGA